RNAcentral lists this ribosomal RNA (1157 nucleotides) under uncultured fungus. RNAcentral describes it as "eukaryotic LSU rRNA". The stretch from base 526 to 1157 matches the Rfam family "Eukaryotic large subunit ribosomal RNA", at positions 1 to 648 of the family's 3401-position model. The record is from RNAcentral. Lineage: Eukaryota; Fungi.
AAGUCGUAACAAGGUUUCCGUAGGUGAACCUGCGGAAGGAUCAUUACAUUAUGUGCUUUUUUAGCCUUGUCGGGUGGCUAUUCUUGUAAUAGCGCCUGCCUGAAUCCGUGUCUUUUGCGUACUACAUGUUUCCUUGGUAGGUUUGCCUGCCAGUUGGACCAUCUAUAACCAUUUGCAAUUGCAAUCAGCGUCUGAAAACUAUGAUAAUUACAACUUUCAACAACGGAUCUCUUGGUUCUGGCAUCGAUGAAGAACGCAGCGAAAUGCGAUAAGUAGUGUGAAUUGCAGAAUUCAGUGAAUCAUCGAAUCUUUGAACGCACAUUGCGCCCCUUGGUAUUCCAUGGGGCAUGCCUGUUCGAGCGUCAUUUGUACUCUCAAGCUUUGCUUGGUGUUGGGUGCUUGUCCUUUCCUUGUGUAUGGACUCGCCCUAAAGUCAUUGGCAGCCGGCGUAUUGGCCUUGGAGCGCAGCACAUUUUGCGUUUCUUGUCGAUAGAUGCUGGUAUCCAUCAAGCACUCUAUCACUUUUGACCUCGGAUCAGGUAGGGAUACCCGCUGAACUUAAGCAUAUCAAUAAGCGGAGGAAAAGAAACCAACAGGGAUUGCCCUAGUAACGGCGAGUGAAGCGGCAACAGCUCAAAUUUGAAAUCUGGCUCUUUUAGAGUCCUAGUUGUAAUUUGCAGAGGGCGCUUUGGUUUUGGCAGCGGUCCAAGUUCUUUGGAACAGGACGUCACAGAGGGUGAGAAUCCCGUACGUGAUCGCUAGCCUUCACCGUGUAAAGCCCCUUCGACGAGUCGAGUUGUUUGGGAAUGCAGCUCUAAAUGGGAGGUAAAUUUCUUCUAAAGCUAAAUACUGGCCAGAGACCGAUAGCGCACAAGUAGAGUGAUCGAAAGAUGAAAAGCACUUUGGAAAGAGAGUCAAACAGCACGUGAAAUUGUUGAAAGGGAAGCGCUUGCAGCCAGACUUGCCUGUAGUUGUUUAUCUAGACUUUUGUCUGGUGCACUCUUCUAUAGGCAGGCCAGCAUCAGUUUGGGCGGUUGGAUAAAGGUCUCUGUCACGUACCCUUCUUCGGAAGGGCCUUACAGGGGAGACGACAUGCAACCAGCCUGAACUGAGGUCCGCGCAUCUGCUAGGAUGCUGGCGUAAUAGCUGUAAGCGGC